UCGUUGGUGACCAGCGGAGGGAUCAUUACCGAGUUUACAACUCCCAAACCCCUGUGAACAUACCAAUUGUUGCCUCGGCGGAUCAGCCCGCUCCCGGUAAAACGGGACGGCCCGCCAGAGGACCCCUAAACUCUGUUUCUAUAUGUAACUUCUGAGUAAAACCAUAAAUAAAUCAAAACUUUCAACAACGGAUCUUUUGGUUCUGGCAUCGAUGAAGAACGCAGCAAAAUGCGAUAAGUAAUGUGAAUUGCAGAAUUCAGUGAAUCAUCGAAUCUUUGAACGCACAUUGCGCCCGCCAGUAUUCUGGCGGGCAUGCCUGUUCGAGCGUCAUUUCAACCCUCAAGCCCAGCUUGGUGUUGGGACUCGCGAGUCAAAUCGCGUUCCCCAAAUUGAUUGGCGGUCACGUCGAGCUUCCAUAGCGUAGUAGUAAAACCCUCGUUACUGGUAAUCGUCGCGGCCACGCCGUUAAACCCCAACUUCUGAAUGUUGACCUCGGAUCAGGUAGGAAUACCCGCUGAACUUAAGCAUAUCAAUAAGCGGAGGA
Molecule: ribosomal RNA, 544 nt
Filed under: uncultured Hypocreales
Lineage: Eukaryota; Fungi; Ascomycota; Sordariomycetes; Hypocreales
Description: eukaryotic LSU rRNA
Rfam family: 5.8S ribosomal RNA (bases 177-330)
Source: RNAcentral